GAUGAAGAACGUAGCGAAAUGCGAUAAGUAAUGUGAAUUGCAGAAUUCAGUGAAUCAUCGAAUCUUUGAACGCACCUUACACCCUUUGGACUGCUCCAAAGGGUAUGCUCGUUUGAGUGUCAUUGUACUCUCACACUCUCUGAUCCUUUGGAUUUGGGGAGCAGUGGACUUGGGUGCUUGCUGCUUCCUUGUGGCUCACCUGAAAUGCAUCAGUGCAUCUCUCGAUUGGACAUAGUACGGCGUGAUAAGUGUCUUCGCCGGCACCUCAUAUGAGGGUGGCCGAUCGGGAGCUCUGUGCUUUCAAACCGUCUUCGGACAACGCUGACAACUUGACCUCAAAUCGAGUAGGACUACCCGCUGAACUUAAGCAUAUCAAUAAGCGGAGGA
This 387-nucleotide unclassified non-coding RNA is filed under the name soil metagenome. Its description in RNAcentral is "partial contains 5.8S ribosomal RNA, internal transcribed spacer 2, and large subunit ribosomal RNA". The stretch from base 1 to 122 matches the Rfam family "5.8S ribosomal RNA", at positions 35 to 154 of the family's 154-position model. The record is from RNAcentral.